Molecule: ribosomal RNA, 301 nt
Filed under: uncultured bacterium
Lineage: Bacteria
Description: partial 16S ribosomal RNA
Rfam family: Archaeal small subunit ribosomal RNA
Source: RNAcentral
CAGUAGCCGCGGGAAAACCAGCACCUCGAGUGGUCAGGAGGUUUAUUGGGCCUAAAGCAUCCGUAGCCGGUUGCAUAAGUUUUCGGUUAAAUCUAUGCGCUUAACGUAUAGGCCGCCGAAAAUACUGUGCAGCUAGGGAGUGGGAGAGGUACACGGUACUCGAUAGGAAGGGGUAAAAUCCUUUGAUCUAUUGAUGACCACCUGUGGCGAAGGCGGUGUACCAGAACACGUUCGACGGUGAGGGAUGAAAGCUGGGGGAGCAAACCGGAUUAGAUACCCCAGUAGUCCCUGUCUCUUAUAC